GGAGGAAAGUAGGGGAUCGAAAGACCUUAUGCUUUUGGAGCGGCCGAUGUCUGAUUAGCUAGUUGGUAAGGUAAUGGCUUACCAAGGCGACGAUCAGUAGUUGGUCUGAGAGGACGACCAGCCACACUGGGACUGAGACACGGCCCAGACUCCUACGGGAGGCAGCAGUGGGGAAUUUUGGACAAUGGGCGCAAGCCUGAUCCAGCAAUGCCGCGUGAGUGAAGAAGGCCUUCGGGUUGUAAAGCUCUUUCAGUCGAGAAGAAAAGGUUGUGACUAAUAAUCAUAACUCAUGACGGUAUCGACAGAAGAAGCACCGGCUAACUACGUGCCAGCAGCCGCGGUAAUACGUAGGGUGCAAGCGUUAAUCGGAAUUACUGGGCGUAAAGGGUGCGCAGGCGGUUCUGUAAGUCAGAUGUGAAAUCCCCGGGCUUAACCUGGGAACUGCGUUUGAAACUACAAAGCUAG
This 465-nucleotide ribosomal RNA is filed under the name uncultured bacterium. RNAcentral's name for it is "bacterial SSU rRNA". It matches the Rfam family "Bacterial small subunit ribosomal RNA", at positions 198 to 644 of the family's 1533-position model. The record is from RNAcentral.